RNAcentral lists this ribosomal RNA (253 nucleotides) under uncultured bacterium. RNAcentral describes it as "partial 16S ribosomal RNA". It matches the Rfam family "Bacterial small subunit ribosomal RNA", at positions 524 to 776 of the family's 1533-position model. The record is from RNAcentral.
UACGAAGGGGGCUAGCGUUGCUCGGAUUGACUGGGCGUAAAGGGCGCGUAGGCGGUUCGUACAGUCAGACGUGAAAUUCCUGGGCUCAACCUGGGGGCUGCGUUUGAUACGUGCGGGCUUGAGUGCGGAAGAGGGUCGUGGAAUUCCCAGUGUAGAGGUGAAAUUCGUAGAUAUUGGGAAGAACACCGGUGGCGAAGGCGGCGACCUGGUCCUUGACUGACGCUGAGGCGCGAAAGCGUGGGGAGCAAACAGG